GGUCUGUUAGCUCAGCUGGUAGAGCACUGUGUUCACAUCGCAGGGGUCACUGGUUCGAGUCCAGUACAGACCACCA
This 76-nucleotide transfer RNA is filed under the name Bacillota bacterium. RNAcentral describes it as "tRNA-Val". It matches the Rfam family "tRNA". Rfam says of the family: Transfer RNA (tRNA) molecules are approximately 80 nucleotides in length. Their secondary structure includes four short double-helical elements and three loops (D, anti-codon, and T loops). Further hydrogen bonds mediate the characteristic L-shaped molecular structure. tRNAs have two regions of fundamental functional importance: the anti-codon, which is responsible for specific mRNA codon recognition, and the 3' end, to which the tRNAs corresponding amino acid is attached (by aminoacyl-tRNA synthetases). tRNAs cope with the degeneracy of the genetic code in two manners: having more than one tRNA (with a specific anti-codon) for a particular amino acid; and 'wobble' base-pairing, i.e. permitting non-standard base-pairing at the 3rd anti-codon position. RNAcentral also lists the same sequence under 3 other names. Lineage: Bacteria; Bacillati; Bacillota. The record is from RNAcentral.